RNAcentral lists this long non-coding RNA (360 nucleotides) under Bos taurus (domestic cattle). Its description in RNAcentral is "long non-coding RNA NONBTAT020145". Lineage: Eukaryota; Metazoa; Chordata; Mammalia; Artiodactyla; Bovidae. The record is from RNAcentral.
CUCAUCGGCAUUACCUGGCUGUCUCCAACUAUCUCUGUAUUCCAGAGAACAAAACAUUUUUCCUAACAUAAAUCAGCUCCCAGUCAAUACAGACUAAUGUUUUUGAAAAGACUCCUAUGAAAGUGCUCCAAGGAUACACCACCAUCUGUUUCUAAUGUUCAAAUAUAAUUUGGAUAGUUUAGAAGCUAUAAUUUAAAAAAAAGACACCGCAAUCACUGCACAUUCACAGGGUCAUGUGCCAAAGACCCUGUGUGAACAUCCAGGCGGUCCCUGCAGCAGGCUCCCCUGGAACCACCACGCGCACACGUGGACGUCCUGUAAGUGCGACACCGGAAAGGGAAGUUGUAGCUCCGCUCUGAU